UGCAGUCGACGGCAGCCCUUGGAUUCGUCUGAGGGCGAGAGUGGCGAACGGGUGAGUAACACGUAGGUGACCUACCCCAAAGAGAGGAAUAACCACUGGAAACGGUGGCUAAUACCCCAUGUGCUCCGUGAAGUUAGAGGGUCACGGAGUAAAGCCCCUUCGGGGAGCGCUUUGGGAGGGGCCUGCGGCCCAUCAGGUAGUUGGUAGGGUAAUGGCCUACCAAGCCGAUGACGGGUAGGGGGCGUGAGAGCGUGACCCCCCACACUGGCACUGCGACACGGGCCAGACUCCUACGGGAGGCAGCAGUGAGGAAUAUUGAGCAAUGGGCGCAAGCCUGACUCAGCAACGCCGCGUGGGCGAUGAAGGCCUUCGGGUUGUAAAGCCCUUUUCUGGGGGACGAGGAAGGACGGUACCCCAGGAAUAAGUCACGGCUAACUACGUGCCAGCAGCCGCGGUAACACGUAGGUGGCAAGCGUUAUCCGGAUUCACUGGGCGUAAAGCGCGUGCAGGCGGUUUCGUAAGUCGGACGUGAAAGCCCCUGGCUCAACCAGGGAACUGCGUCCCAUACUGCUUGGCUUGAGUGCAGCAGAGGAGGGGGGAAUUCCCGGUGUAGCGGUGAAAUGCAUUGAUAUCGGGAGGAACACCAGUGGCGAAGGCGCCCCUCUGGGCUGUUACUGACGCUGAGGCGCGAAAGCUGGGGGAGCAAACAGGAUUAGAUACCCUGGUAGUCCCAGCCGUAAACGGUGGGCACUAGGUGUGGGGGGCAUCGACCCCUCCCGUGCCGAAGCUAACGCAUUAAGUGCCCCGCCUGGGGGAGUACGACCGCAAGGUUGAAACUCAAAGGAAUUGACGGGGGGCCCGCACAAGCGGUGGAGCAUGUGGUUCAAUUCGAUGCAACGCGAAGAACCUUACCCA
RNAcentral lists this ribosomal RNA (915 nucleotides) under uncultured bacterium. Its description in RNAcentral is "bacterial SSU rRNA". It matches the Rfam family "Bacterial small subunit ribosomal RNA", at positions 56 to 977 of the family's 1533-position model. The record is from RNAcentral.